CCUCGCGAUCGUCCAUCGUCCUCUCUUCCACCGCCAGCGCGAUAGAUAGAGAAAAAGCGGAAGAGAGUGAGGGGAAGGCGAACGAAUGUGUCGUCGAAGAGAAAGGGGUCGAGACAGCUCCACCACGUUCAGAAGAGAGAAGAGUGAUCUGAGAGAGAGGGGAAGAGAGAGAGAGAGAGAGAGAGAGAGAGUCAGGGGCUUCCUCGAAGUAUAGCGUGCUCGUAUAGUAUAUUUCCUCUCUCCCUGUCUCUUUUCCUCUUUUUGUUCCCUUCUGCCUACGUCCUUCCAUCUUCGUCGAGCAGACUCACCGUAAUGCAAUUAACUACCCUGACCAAACCGAAACCGAACAAGUUCCCCGUCUAUUAACGCGUGGCAGCGCGGCGCAACGGGAUCGCCCCGACAUCCGUCUCUCGUCAGGAUCGUUUUCCCGAUGAACGCCUCGACGCUAAAAGGAAGAGCUGCGAGCCGCUGCGGAGAAAAUCGAGCUGCUCGACCGGCCGGAAAGCGGCAGCAGCGAAAGUACGCGCGAUAAGUUGGACGACAGAGAAAUUGUUGACCUUAGGAUGAAUGAAUUCGUCUUGAAGAGGAUGUGACAUGAUCGAGCAACGUGGAUCCGUCUCCUCAAUGAUGCAUAUGAGACUCCAGGAAACUCCGUUGAUCUAUUUAGCUGGUCGAAAAUAUGAACUGAAAUUAAUUUACAAUGUAGGUGCACACAUACAAGUUCAGAUUCACCUUGACGCUGAUCGUAAAUAAGGCAAUUUGUACCGUUCCGCAAAAUGAGCCGAAGCGAAGCAACAAACGUCUGAAAAUAUUAACAGCGGGCCAGUUUUGACCCGAUUUCCCUCGUCGGUGGAUUAAUCAAUAACAUACGUAAAAGUUUCAUCGCCGACGAGCCGCUACCGGACUGUUCCUUCGCUGGUUCCUUAUACAUAUAUCGAUGAACAUACGUUCAUCGACCACACUUCUGCCAGAAGUCGGAAUAUUUUCAACCGGACGAAAGAGCAUUUCAAAGGAGAUCGAUAAGAAUAACGAUCAUGCAUGAAUCACCAAUGUCUCGGUGAACAGUUGUCUCUUUUCCUCUUAGCUCGUCUUGAAGCUGAUCGACGAGAGUAAAGACUGUGAACGCAAGCGAAGGAAGUCGGGGUCGCGCGGAGCGCAGCGUUUCUUAAUUAAUUGCGACAUCAGAAGACGUAAUCUCGAGUGCCGAUCUCGAUAACGCAUCCGGACGAGCGCGGAGCGAAACGGGGACGACGCGGGGGAGGAAUACGUGCUACCAGCUACGGAUCGUCCUGCAUGAAUCACGGGAUUUCAACGAAGAGCGGAUCGCUGGGAACGAGGAACAGUUAUCACCGACGUGUGCCGAUUGAAUGGGCUAUAAUCGGCACUAAUUAGCGCCGAUGGCGAACAGAUAUCGAAGCAACACGAGGCCGACUCCCGAAUUGGCCGAUAUACCGCGUCGCCGAUUGCAAGCGAACGCUGCGAGGAACGCUAUUAUUAGCGUGCAUUGGAUCAGAAAAUCUGGCGACGCGAGUGAGUGGGUGAGUGAUGCUUAGAAUCGAUACGGGCUUCCGAUACUCUGAUGCUAUUCUGUAAGAUCGACUCAACAUCGGAUAUCACGAGCUGGUUGAAUUCUCCGUUAAGCGUCCUUGAAAUCUUGAGCGGCUAGGAAGAAAGAGAAAACUAAAGAAAAAUUGAAUUAAAAAAAAUAUGCAGUAUAUUCUGUAGAAAUCAAAAGUGAAUAAUGUACGAAAUGAUGCAAUUAAAGCAUCAAAAUUAUUUGAAAGAAUUGAUAUAUUCGAAACAAGAUUAUCUUGCACAAUGUUGGAAAAACAUUGUAUUUUUCCAACGUUUUUUUCUUUUAUCGGCGGAAUAUUUUUUUUAGAGGACACAAGCGACAGAACAUUUAACUGUACAUAAGAAAUAAGGCGGAUAACUUAAUCGCGCAGAACAUAAUCGUCGACGCUUUGCACACGCUUUGAUAACGCGCGACCGAUAUCGAUUACUGAUAAUGACAAGCGUUCGUUGUUAUCCUUCGGCGGAGGAAUGACUGUAUUUCGCGUGGUCGAUUAUUUUCGCGCGCUCGUCCGUGAAUUCGCUCGCGAAUAUGUCUCUGCUGAUGAAGUCGGGAAGACGUCGGAUGACAUUAUCGUGAAAAAUGAGCGCGGAGAUAAUGAGGACGCGAAUGAAUGUCAAGUAAAUGCCGAUCCCACAGGCGUUUACAACCGCAACACGUCCAUCGGGAAUCCUUAAGUCGAGAUCAGAACAGGCGUACUGCUUGUAAAAAAAAGAAGAGAAAAAGAAGAAACCAGCAAUCUAGCCCUUAAUCGACAAUGAGAUACGUAUAUCUCAUUGUCAGUGCAAUUAUACCAGAAAGAGAAAGAGAAAGAGAGAGAUUUGUUAGAAAGAUUUACGUCGUCACUCUACAAUUUUUAUCGUCUCUAGCGAGAUAUAUUAUUUGAAUUAUAAAAUCUAGAUUAUAUCAUUCUCUAAGAGAAAUAUACGAAUUUUUUUCUCUCAGAGAGAAUAAUAAUUUGGUUUUUCUUUCUUUCUCUGUUUUAAAAACGACUGUUCAAAUAAUGAGAAAUGUAAGCGUCGUAUCGUCUAUUCAGCUAACGUCCUACGGAGGAUGAAAUUCGCGAAGGUGUUCCAUAAUUAAUUCGAGAUAAAAAGAGAGAGACGAGAAGAAUGAAUAGGAUUUAUAUUUAUGUUAUAGUUUUUGAAAUAUGUAAGUUCUUAAUGCGUUGAUUUAAGGAUUUAUUCACAUUCAAAUUGAUAUUAGUUUUUGCUUUGGUUGUGAUUGAAUAUGUUUUUGGAUUAUAUUAUAGUGAUUAUAUUAUAGUGAUAUAGUGUAAGUGAUUCAUUAUUUAGUCUUAUCAGAGGGAUUUUUUUCCGUUAAUAAAUUGAAAUUAAAAUUGAAAUUGGCAGGAUUAAUCCGGUUAUCAGGUGUUGAAGUUCAUCGGCGAUGCUUACGUGUCGCAUCCAUCAAUGAUGAGCUGGUUUACGCCGGGUUUUACCACGAUUUUUCCGUGUGUGCACAGCGGGGUUCGGUACCACGACGAUGGCGCGUCGCGGCGAUAUUUCGCGAUAAACGCGAUAACUCUGUUUGCCCGGAAAAACUGGCGGGAUACUCACACGUGCAAUCGCGAGAGCACCGGUUGGCGGAGAGAGUUACCGCUAUCGUAAAAACGGCGAUAAAGCAGCCGUUUAUCACGAAACGAAGUUGAAGACUGGCUGUGUUUAAGGCAAAGGGUGUCCCUACCUGAACGUAUUUUUACAAUGUCAAUGUUUUUAUUCACGUCCAGAAUCUCGAGAGCGAGAUAUUUGAGAUGUCGCGAGCCGGUUAAAAGCGCGGGACUCAUUUUAAACAAAUUACCGACGCACGUCUCUAAUGAGACGUAUCUUUAAUUAAUUCGUGUAUGUUCUGUUUAUAUCAUUAAUGGAUUAGGUCUCGCUGCCGACUCGUCUGACAACGGGGGAAAAAACGCAACCAUAUAGAAAAUGAAUGUCUGUCUCGCGCUACGUAGGUCUGUUAAUUACGGAAGACGGUGUGCCGGUCGUCAUUUUCAGACGGCAAUCACACAUCGAUCAUCCGCACAGCACGUCUUCAUGACUCACAUCAGUCAGCCUUCUUCCUAUAUCCGUGCGGCAAACGAAUUUGUAUUUACCAAAUUACACGAAGAUUGAGACUGCGACGUGGACGAGCCAAGUUCCAAAUUCAUGCAUGUCGCUUGAUUGAUCGAAAUCAUGAAGAAACUUUGCGCAAUGCAGGAAGCGUCCCGAGUGAAACUGACCGUGAAAGAGCGGGACGAGUCUCAAAAUUCUGAAAAUUCUGUUCACGAAGAGCCUUCCUCGAGCCUGAAACUCGAGACUCGCGUUUAGCACGUCACAGAAUUAAAUAUUAAUUCGUAAGUCUGCCAGUCGUUCCAAUCCGAAUCUAACUCCUCGUCGUCUACCUCUUUCAGAAACAAGAUCGAUUUAACGAUCGAUGACGAUUCUGCUUGAAGAGGAAAAAGUUACUCUCUUGGAUACACCGGCGACGCCGCGCCUCGACGCUCUCUCCUGGUCUCCCAGAAAACCAUUCUAGUGAUCGCGACGAGGAUCAAUCCAGCGACACGUCGUGUCGCGGAACGUGUCGCAGCGUUUUGGCGAGCACGCAACCGUGCGUGAAUCAGCGUGGAAGCCAAUCGUACCACGAAAGAUUGAGGUGAGUCAUCGCUCGCUUCGGUUUCGCGCCAGCGAGCAGACUUUGCCCGCUUGCUCGCUCGAGACAUCGCCAGCACUUCUAACUAAAUAAAUUAACGCGGGAUAUUGUUCUUUAAAGUGACGACGAUACUGGUACGGAAAUAUCGAAUCUUGACAAAUCUGUAGAAGCGGCCUUCUGAUGUUUUUCGUUGCAGGCAGUGACUGAAUUUCACGAGGAGCGACAUGCCUGCGCCGCGUUAAUUUCGGAACACUCUCAGGAGACACUGCUCUUGACAAUUAUCCAUUCAACGAUUUUAUUUCAACAGAAAUGUGGAGACGUGAGCUUUACGAGACCGAAGAAAGAACCGUGACAAGGAUGACUUUCGCUGUUUUGAAGGCACCAAUUCAUCAAGAAUCGAGAUUGGAGAACGCGCGUUCAAGCGCCUUCACGCGCCUUCUGACCCUCGCGAACCGAUGAUACGAUAACGAUUUCUCGUUGAUGCGCGUGCACACGAACGCGACGACGUGUUUACGAGUGAACGACGUCCAUUUAAUUCCGAUGGCAGAUACCGCUAAUUAAAUCAUCGACCAAAAGGAAAACCGGUGUCCGGUCAGUGAGGCCAGCGGCGUUCCAAGUGAUAUCAUCGCCGAAAGAAAUGAGCAUAAGAUCGUCGUCAUGUUCUUGGGAGUCAAUUACAUGCUGCCAAUCGAUCGCUCUGCAACGAGCGAUCGAGCGAGUUACUUCGUCUGAAAUUUUUAAUCAGUUCAGAUAAGCAGAUAAGCUUAACAACAGUCCUUUUUGCAAAUAAUUCUUAACUGACUGCGUGCAAAUGUUUUACAGGAGAGGGAUUCGAUUCAGUCGAUGACAAGAGUUCGAAACUAAGCGAGAGCGGAAUAAAAUCCACAAUCAUUCGUCAUCCCCGUAUAUUUCUCUCGCAUGUAACGAAAGGAGAAAUUCAGCGAAUUCAAAUUUCAACCAAAGAGCGAUGCGAUACGCACUGCAAACUUUAAGCAUACAUUACAGCCCGUGAAAAGCCCGUUUGAAACCAUCAGGAAACGACCCAUGGAAUUCAGAUGAAAACAGAACUGAAGGAUCGCCGAUUCCAUCAUCGAUUCGACAGUAAUUGUAACACAAAUUCUCCCAUGUUAUACGAGUGGUUCGCGUGUCUCGGAAAUUAAGCCCGAUAAAUGCGACUCCGUCAUGCUUGGUAUCGUCUUUGUUAUCGUUAAGUGUUAUUGUACACUUAGCCUUACGACGAUGAGAAAGUGGAUCAAGAGAAAGAGAGAGAGACACGCAAUGCGAAAAUAAUAUUUCCAUUAAUCGCGACAAAUGUGCUGAAUAACGCAUUUAACAGGUUGCUUGUACCCCAAAAUUUCUUUCGUAGCGCAACGCUCCUUUCGCAUUUCUAAACGAUUCAGACGUCUAAUUUGAGCUAUUGAAUGAACGAUAGUCACGUACGAAGACAUCCGUAAUAAUGUACCGUAAACGCCAAGGCGCGCGCACACAAUUGCUUAAUAUUACCUUCAAACUGUCUCCCGCGAAUUGACUGCGCGUCUCGAAAAGUAUUAAUUCGUGUGAUCGAUACGCGUCUAAUCUAAUCGUAACGCUCGCUGACACAACAAAUAUCCGGCGGUGCAAUAAAAACGGCGGUAUCUCCUGCGAAGCAUCGCGAUACGUCCAGCUCGUGCGCAUCCGCGCGAUUUUAGCGGACCGAGCAUAACUUUGGCUUAAUCCUUUCCAGUUCAACAAUGUCAAUAGAAACGGCACACGUACAUAUAUCGCGUCUUACGUAAGCGAAUUCGAGAGCCGAAGGGAUUUCGUGAAUUUCCCAGGGACCGUUAGCCGAUCCUGAGUGCUGGCGGUCAUUAACAGAAAAUUUGUAUGGCGGUUCACACGGAAGCGGAAUAUAGAAGGCAACGUCGCUAAGUAGCGCGAGUAAAUAGUAAUUCUUUAUGCGGCUGGUCCCGAAACCCGCCUCGGUUCAUGUUAAAUGCGGUUGAUGCAUAAUGAAAUUACAGAAUGCAGGGAAAAUAAUCCAUGAGUUUAUAAACGUGGGUUACUCCAAAACAAAUAUUUCAAACCAGGCAAACACACAUAGGAUAUGGCGCGACGCUCAAAGUAUUAACAUUCAUGCACAUGUUAAAAAACAUAUCUGACCCACCCCAGAGGGAUUAAUAAUUAAUUGUUCGAUUAUUCAACAGCACUAGGAUCACUUUAUCAAUGCAAAGCUCUCGGGCAUUCUGGUUAUGUUUGUUAGGAAAUCGAGUGUUCCAAGAUCGAAUUUUCUCUCGCGGAAAAUCGGCUCGAGGCGUCCGUAGGUAUACUAUUAAUUUGCAUUAUUAUUAUUAUUAUCACAUAUCCCAUGUUCGAAUCUCAACAGCAUUUUCUCACAAGAAUCAUUGAAAUUUAUUUUAAAAAAGUAUUUCGUUAUCCCCAAUAUGGACAGUUUCGAAAUCCUUGAUUCCUGGCAAUCAACUAAUCACCGUAAUGACACCGAAACUCUCACCGGAGGAGAAAAGUCGCUGACGAGCGUCCGUCACUCCUAGAAUUGCCUCUCCGGCGAGAUACGCGGCGUGACGGAAAGGAAAGAGAAUCGCAGACUUGCUUGCUCGACCGAAUCUCGCGCUCAGUUCCGCUCGCGAUUGAACUUGAAGUUUCCAGAAGGAAUAGAACGACAAUCUUUCGCCAGUCGUUCAGCGACACAGCGACUGCACGCAGAAAACCUGCAAGACUCGAAAAAAUCGAAGGAAACUUCUACAAAUAUUCAAGUUCAAAAAACAGUGCUCCAAUUUUUAGUGUCGAGGCGAGGAUCCAGGUAGACAACGCGGUCAACGUGCGGCAAGGCAAGGCAAGGCAAGGAAAAUCGUCACGCAAUCGUAAUACUUGGAAUCGAGACGAGACCAAGUUCGAAGGUGAAGCGCACGUUGUACGUGCAGUUAUUCGGCGCUCUGUAGGCUGCACGCGUCACUCGAUGCCGACUCGAUGACGUUCGCCGAGGCGAUGACGCGCCGAAAAUCCGAGGAGAUGGUCGCGCACGACGGUGACGACGACGAGGACGGCGGACUCUCUCGCCGCGGUUACUUUCUCCUCGCGGAGAAAAGGCCGAGCCGGGCGCGCGCGCGGAUAAUCGCGCGAGCGGGACGAAGACGCACGCUGCGCUCAUUCGCUCGCUCGCUCGUACGUUCACGAACACAGGCAGGUUAACGCAGGUUGAAGGUUAACUCCUCACGCCGGAGGUGCGCUGCGAAACGCGAGAUCGCGCGGACGGUAUAGUUCGGACAGCGCGCGCGGAGACGUGGAAACAGAGGCGAGGGAAAAGCCGCGAUUCUCUUUGAGUGUACGCGCGCGCGCGUGAGCACGCACGCGAAAGAUA
RNAcentral lists this long non-coding RNA (7556 nucleotides) under Ooceraea biroi (clonal raider ant). RNAcentral's name for it is "uncharacterized LOC105284719". Lineage: Eukaryota; Metazoa; Arthropoda; Insecta; Hymenoptera; Formicidae. The record is from RNAcentral.